GACGAACCGUGCGAACGUUAUUCGGAAUCACUGGGCUUAAAGCGCGUGUAGGCGGAUGGGGACGUCGGUCGCUGAAAUCCCCCGGCUCAACCGGGGAACGGGCGCCGAAACGCCCCGUCUGGAGGGACGUAGGGGGACCUGGAACUUCCGGUGGAGCGGUGAAAUGCGUUGAGAUCGGAAGGAACGCCCGUGGCGAAAGCGAGGUCCUGGACGUCUUCUGACGCUGAGACGCGAAAGCCAGGGGAGCAAACGGG
This 254-nucleotide ribosomal RNA is filed under the name uncultured bacterium. RNAcentral's name for it is "partial 16S ribosomal RNA". It matches the Rfam family "Bacterial small subunit ribosomal RNA", at positions 524 to 776 of the family's 1533-position model. The record is from RNAcentral.